AGGACCUCCGGUGUGUUUCGCGUGGGUUCCGCGGCGGGGGUAAAGAGGAGGUGGAGGGUAGGGGUAGAGCGAGAGCGCCGGCUCUCUAGCUUAGCCUCUUCUUCUUCCUCGCCUCUCCGGAGACGACGGGAUCGAGGCGGCGGGGGCGUGGUCGGUACCGCGAGCGGCGAGCGGAGCAUAGGGCGAGGGCGGUCAAUAUAAGACAGGUUCGACGAAACCGGUUACCUCCAGAGUGAGUUCAGGCGAGUAAACGGUUCCUCCGUCGAGGACAGUCGCCUCUGCUGGAUAACUUCCCGUAGAAAAAACUCCACUUCUUUUUCAAACUCUGGCGUGAACCCCAGGAAUUCUUCCUCUUCUAGUGCUAACUGGGUCUACUGGGUUGUCGUCAACGAUUGAUACGGGUUCAGUACUCCUGACAUUCUCUUUUCCGUCUAGAAGAAUUGCUAAGAGUCUCUUAAUUUAUAUGAUAACUCUGAAAGUGCUUCCCGUAGGGACUACGUUCCUGCAUGAACCUAUGGGAAGUCGUUGAGUCCUUUUUCUCACCUGAAUAUCUACUAUACCCAUAACUCCUAUACUACUACCUUCGAGAGCUCUUUCAACUCUUCCUGUAAUUCUUCGGAGAAGACUCCUCACUGUUCUUCUUGUACUUAGAGGAGAACCGUCUCAAACUGUUCUAUUUGUUUUUCGAACCGUAAGCCUUCCUCCUAGAAGGGUUCUAACUCCUCUUAGAACUUUACCUUGAACGGUUUCGACUCGACUGCCUUGAGUUCUUCCUUCAACAACUUCGUUACCUCCCAGUUGAUUUCUCCCUCCUCAAAUUUCUACUCCACUACGGACUGCAGUCCUUCAACCUGUAAUCUUUGAAGGAGAUCCAGGGACUAACUACUAUCGGGAGUCCCGCUGGCUAGACACUAAAAAGAAAAGUUCACUGCCGUCCACGACAUUCGGUGUGGCUUACCUACAAUAACAACGAAAAAAAACAUUAUUUUGACGUGGCUUUUAUACUGUCAGUUGGCACUCAACCCAACGAACCAAUGGAAGGCCGAAACUCUCAAAACAAAGAAGAAUCCGACCGUUGCACUUGUAGUUCGCAACGACUUAUACACGGACGCCGACGACAACAUACAUCAUCGGUGUGUAAUAUUAAUAUACCCUACAAGGUCACAGAACAAGUGGUCCAAUACUCCGAAGCCGGUACCAAAAUUGACGUCAAAGCUAAAAGUAACAUGUACAG
Molecule: ribosomal RNA, 1234 nt
Filed under: Triticum aestivum (bread wheat)
Lineage: Eukaryota; Viridiplantae; Streptophyta; Magnoliopsida; Poales; Poaceae
Description: partial small subunit ribosomal RNA
Source: RNAcentral